This 240-nucleotide unclassified non-coding RNA is filed under the name uncultured fungus. Its description in RNAcentral is "sequence contains ITS1, 5.8S rRNA gene". The stretch from base 192 to 240 matches the Rfam family "5.8S ribosomal RNA", at positions 1 to 49 of the family's 154-position model. Lineage: Eukaryota; Fungi. The record is from RNAcentral.
UUUCCGUUGGUGAACCAGCGGAAGGAUCAUUACAGAGAUCAUGCCCUCACGGGUAGACCUCCCACCCUGUUUUAUUUACUUUGUUGCUUUGGCGGCCCCGUCGCAAGACAACCGGCUCCGGCUGGUCAGCGGCCGCCAGAGGAAUCAAAACUCUUAUUAUUAUUGUCGUCUGAGUACUAUAUAAUAGUUAAAACUUUCAACAACGGAUCUCUUGGUUCUGGCUUCGAUGAAGAACGCAGC